AUUCCCUGUACAAUAGAAAGUAUUUUCUACCUCAUGUUGGCCAACUGGCCAAGGAGUCAAGUUGGACUCAGCUCUUAGGGCCAUUCAUUUCUGCCCAAGCUGUUUCUCUGGGUCUCCAUGGUUUCUAACUGAUAAUACACAGAAGCUCAGCAUCUCAGAAAUAUUUGGGUGCUGAUGCCAUUCUUGGAGGCUCAGAAUUGCCUCCCAGGCAAUGUUGUCUUAUGAGAAACUGCUUAUACCGUUAAGGGCAGCAUGAGGACCCUCUGUUGAAAGAUCAAGGCUGCUGUUUUAUACUUGACCCAGGCUAGAGAAUUUCACUGGUAGAGACUUUGUUAUGGAACCGUCCUGCAGGAGACGUCCCCAAGAGAUGUUUGCUUUUAACUCAGCAGCAGGACUAGGAGACUAUCAAGGACCUGAUCAUCUUGGAAUGGGCUGCUUCUGGGCAAUGGGGACCUGGCGGCAAGCCAAGCUGCUUUGCACCAGCAAAAAGAAAGAGAUGAAUGCCACACUAGAUUUCAGGCAUCAAAAGCAAGCAUAGGAUCUCAUGCACUGACCAGUCUCCUCUGUCCUAUGAUGAGGGAAGCUGAAAAGGGCAGAAGAAGAAUGGAAGAUGGAAAGUACAGAACAGUAUGAACGACAAUUUCUCCCCGAGAAGAAACCAAAGGAUGGGAAGGAGAAUCCAAGCAGAAAUGGUCUAAAGACUCACAGAUUUACUGGUAGAAGAUGCGAAAACCAAAAAUAUACAAAAGCAUUCAAACCAACAUUUAAAAAAAAAAAAAUUACUCCGCCUGCUCUGCUUCUUCCUACCAAACUUCACAAAUUUCACACAGUCAUCAAAAUUAUUUUUCUAGGUGUUCACAUUUUCCAAUUUACCAUUCCUAACUUAUUUUUGUAUUUCUUUUCUCUUUUCCAAGAUAUAAUAAAAUCCAAAGGAUGGUAGAAAUAUUUGAAGUUAAACAAUUAAAACUAAAGCAGAAUACUUGCAUGACCUACACCUGCACCAAAAUCUUUACAAAGACAAAAGUGACAUAAUUUUAUGUUGCACAUAAAGAUUUAUCGUAAGCUACCAUGGUGUAUAUAAUAUUGGAGUAUACAGUUUGCAUUUUUCUUAUCUUCAUACUUAUAUAUGAGUUUUUCUGUAAUGUAUUAAGUUAUGUAUAAAAGCAGAUAUGACUAAUGAUUAAAAGCUUCUUCCAUCUCA
This is a long non-coding RNA of Varanus komodoensis (Komodo dragon), 1201 nucleotides long. RefSeq lists it as uncharacterized. The transcript is spliced from 2 exons. NCBI's taxonomy places the organism in Eukaryota, Metazoa, Chordata, Lepidosauria, Squamata, Varanidae. The record is from RefSeq and is a predicted model, not a curated record.